ACAUGCAUCGAUAACAGUCUUUAUUUUAAGAUUUGCAAAUUUUCUCACAAGUGAUGCACCAAAGCGAAACACAUUUUAUUGACUGGUGCAGAAAUCAGAGCCAUUUUAUUGACUGAUUGUGAUCCCAUGACCGACCGGCUCUUGGCUCUUCAAGCUUAGUUGGCGCCCAAGCACCAAUGCUUACAAGCCUCAGCAUCUGCAAAAAGGGCCAAGAUCAUCAGAACAGAUGAUUCCUUUUCCCUUUGUGAAAAGAAAACAUAUUCUAUCAAUGUAAGGAGGAGGAGCAUGAGGAGGAGGAGCAUGCACAGGGUGGCAACAGCGGCCGCUCUCUUCUUCGCC
Molecule: long non-coding RNA, 339 nt
Filed under: Triticum aestivum (bread wheat)
Lineage: Eukaryota; Viridiplantae; Streptophyta; Magnoliopsida; Poales; Poaceae
Description: long non-coding RNA (TAES_LNC009758)
Source: RNAcentral